Non-coding RNA from Phrynosoma platyrhinos (Desert horned lizard), 72 nucleotides. Lineage: Eukaryota; Metazoa; Chordata; Lepidosauria; Squamata; Phrynosomatidae. The record is from the annotation of a GenBank genome assembly.
GGACAGGUGGCUUAGUUGUAGAGCACUUGAUUUGUGUGCAGAAGGUUCCAGGUUCAGUUCCUGGCAACACCA